CAGUCGCCACGGGAAUACGAAGGGGGCUAGCGUUGCUCGGAAUGACUGGGCGUAAAGGGCGCGUAGGCGGAUGGCACAGUCAGAUGUGAAAUUCCCGGGCUUAACCUGGGGGCUGCAUUUGAUACGUGUUGUCUAGAGUGAGGAAGGGGGUCGUGGAAUUCCCAGUGUAGAGGUGAAAUUCGUAGAUAUUGGGAAGAACACCGGUGGCGAAGGCGGCGACCUGGUCCUUGACUGACGCUGAGGCGCGAAAGCGUGGGGAGCAAACAGGAUUAGAUACCCCCGUAGUCCCUGUCUCUUAUAC
This 301-nucleotide ribosomal RNA is filed under the name uncultured bacterium. RNAcentral describes it as "partial 16S ribosomal RNA". It matches the Rfam family "Bacterial small subunit ribosomal RNA", at positions 509 to 807 of the family's 1533-position model. The record is from RNAcentral.